AUUGAACGCUGGCGGCAGGCCUAACACAUGCAAGUCGAACGGUAACAGGAAGCUGCUUGCUGCUUUGCUGACGAGUGGCGGACGGGUGAGUAAUGUCUGGGAAACUCCUCGAUGGAGGGGGAUAACUACUGGAAACGGUAGCUAAUACCGCAUAACGUCUCAAGACCAAAGAGGGGGACCUUAGGGCCUCUUGCCAUCGGAUGUGCCCAGGUUGGAUUAGCUAUUAGGUGGGGUAACGGCUCACCUAGGCGACGAUCCCUACCUGGUCUGAGAGGAUGGCCGGCCACACUGGAACUGAAACAAGGUCCAGAAUCCUAAGGGAGGCAGCAGUAGGGAAUAUUACGCAAUGGGGGGAAGCCUGACGCAGCCAUGCCGCGUGUAUGAAGAAGGCCUUCGGGUUGUAAAGUACUUUCAGCGGGGAGGAAGGGAGUAAAGUUAAUACCUUUGCUGAUUGACGGUACCCGCAGAAGAAGCACCGGCUAACUCCGUG
RNAcentral lists this ribosomal RNA (490 nucleotides) under uncultured bacterium. RNAcentral describes it as "partial 16S ribosomal RNA". It matches the Rfam family "Bacterial small subunit ribosomal RNA", at positions 30 to 507 of the family's 1533-position model. The record is from RNAcentral.